GGGGAAUAUUGCGCAAUGGGGGAAACCCUGACGCAGCAACGCCGCGUGAAGGAAGAAGGCUUUCGGGUCGUAAACUUUUGUCUUUGGGGACGAUAAUGACGGUACCCAAGGAGGAAGCCACGGCUAACUACGUGCCAGCAGCCGCGGUAAUACGUAGGUGGCAAGCGUUGUCCGGAUUUACUGGGUGUAAAGGGCGUGUAGGCGGGAUGGCAAGUCAGAUGUGAAAUACCAAGGCUUAACCUUGGGGCUGCAUUUGAAACUGUUAUUCUUGAGUGUCGGAGAGGGAAGCGGAAUUCCUAGUGUAGCGGUGAAAUGCGUAGAUAUUAGGAGGAACACCAGUGGCGAAGGCGGCUUUCUGGACGAUAACUGACGCUGAGGCGCGAAAGCGUGGGGAGCAAAC
This 400-nucleotide ribosomal RNA is filed under the name uncultured bacterium. Its description in RNAcentral is "bacterial SSU rRNA". It matches the Rfam family "Bacterial small subunit ribosomal RNA", at positions 356 to 773 of the family's 1533-position model. The record is from RNAcentral.